GAUGAACGCUGGCGGCAGGCUUAACACAUGCAAGUCGAGCGGAGUGAUGGCGCUUGCACUAUCACUUAGCGGCGGACGGGUGAGUAAUGCUUAGGAAUCUGCCUAUUAGUGGGGGACAACAUCUCGAAAGGGAUGCUAAUACCGCAUACGUCCUACGGGAGAAAGCAGGGGAUCACUUGUGACCUUGCGCUAAUAGAUGAGCCUAAGUCGGAUUAGCUAGUUGGUGGGGUAAAGGCCUACCAAGGCGACGAUCUGUAGCGGGUCUGAGAGGAUGAUCCGCCACACUGGGACUGAGACACGGCCCAGACUCCUACGGGAGGCAGCAGUGGGGAAUAUUGGACAAUGGGGGGAACCCUGAUCCAGCCAUGCCGCGUGUGUGAAGAAGGCCUUAUGGUUGUAAAGCACUUUAAGCGAGGAGGAGGCUCUUUUGGUUAAUACCCAAGAUGAGUGGACGUUACUCGCAGAAUAAGCACCGGCUAACUCUGUGCCAGCAGCCGCCGUAA
RNAcentral lists this ribosomal RNA (503 nucleotides) under uncultured bacterium. Its description in RNAcentral is "partial 16S ribosomal RNA". It matches the Rfam family "Bacterial small subunit ribosomal RNA", at positions 28 to 523 of the family's 1533-position model. The record is from RNAcentral.